GACGAACGCUGGCGGCGUGCUUAACACAUGCAAGUCGAACGGAAAGGCCCUGCUUUUGUGGGGUGCUCGAGUGGCGAACGGGUGAGUAACACGUGAGUAACCUGCCCUUGACUUUGGGAUAACUUCAGGAAACUGGGGCUAAUACCGGAUAGGAGCUCCUGCUGCAUGGUGGGGGUUGGAAAGUUUCGGCGGUUGGGGAUGGACUCGCGGCUUAUCAGCUUGUUGGUGGGGUAGUUGCUUACCAAGGCUUUGACGGGUAGCCGGCCUGAGAGGGUGACCGGCCACAUUGGGACUGAGAUACGGCCCAGACGCCUACGGGAGGCAGCAGGGGGGAAUAUUGCACAAUGGGCGGAAGCCUGAUGCAGCAACGCCGCGUGCGGGAUGACGGCCUUCGGGUGGUAAACCGCUUUCGCCUGUGACGAAGCGUGAGUGACGGUAAUGGGUAAAGAAGCACCGGCUAACUACGUG
RNAcentral lists this ribosomal RNA (468 nucleotides) under uncultured bacterium. Its description in RNAcentral is "partial 16S ribosomal RNA". It matches the Rfam family "Bacterial small subunit ribosomal RNA", at positions 28 to 507 of the family's 1533-position model. The record is from RNAcentral.